CACCAGUGACCUGCAAAGCCAUCAGCCAUGGCAGAUCGAGCAUCUCCUCUAAGUUCUAGUAGUAGGGAUAGGAAUCAGGGUCAGUUUCCUCUCCUGGCUGUAGCAGCAGCAGCAGCAGUGGAAGGGGCAUGCAGAGGAGCACGAGGCUUGGCUGGAAGCCGACCUACGCCUCGCUGGCUCUCCUGUGCCUGCCUCUUCCAUUCCUUCUGCUACGCUAUGAUUGCAACAGUCAGAGCCCAGAAAUGCAAGCAUCUGCAAUUGCCAUCAGGUGAAUCACAUGGAGAGCUCCAGGACUUCUGAAGUCUGAAGAUAGACCACGGAUGCGGUCGACACGGAUCUGGCGGGCAACAAUGUCCAAGUACCUGCAUGUGAACAGAUCGUGGGGCUGCAUUCCCAAACCCUGCAAACGAAAAUUCCUUCACUUUUGUUAAAAAUGAAAUGCAAGUGUGAAAUGGAACCAUCGACUAGCAGCUUUGUAUAUUUCCUCAAGUUACACUUGAUGAUUGCAUCAUUUGGCCCCGCUCAUCAGUUGCUUCAGAAUACAGGGAAUCAGUCAGAAUGUGCGAAGAAUUCACUAGGGCCGGGCAGUAUGUAUACUCGUAGUUUCACUUGAUUAAUACCAGCUACCUACAGUACAAAACAA
Sorghum bicolor (sorghum) is the source of this 643-nucleotide long non-coding RNA. RefSeq lists it as uncharacterized. NCBI's taxonomy places the organism in Eukaryota, Viridiplantae, Streptophyta, Magnoliopsida, Poales, Poaceae. The transcript has 2 exons. The record is from RefSeq and is a predicted model, not a curated record.